RNAcentral lists this ribosomal RNA (566 nucleotides) under uncultured bacterium. Its description in RNAcentral is "partial 16S ribosomal RNA". It matches the Rfam family "Bacterial small subunit ribosomal RNA", at positions 355 to 913 of the family's 1533-position model. The record is from RNAcentral.
UAGGGAAUCUUCCACAAUGGACGCAAGUCUGAUGGAGCAACGCCGCGUGAGUGAAGAAGGUCUUCGGAUCGUAAAGCUCUGUUGUUGGUGAAGAAGGAUAGAGGCAGUAACUGGUCUUUAUUUGACGGUAAUCAACCAGAAAGUCACGGCUAACUACGUGCCAGCAGCCGCGGUAAUACGUAGGUGGCAAGCGUUGUCCGGAUUUAUUGGGCGUAAAGCGAGCGCAGGCGGAAUGAUAAGUCUGAUGUGAAAGCCCACGGCUCAACCGUGGAACUGCAUCGGAAACUGUCAUUCUUGAGUGCAGAAGAGGAGAGUGGAACUCCAUGUGUAGCGGUGGAAUGCGUAGAUAUAUGGAAGAACACCAGUGGCGAAGGCGGCUCUCUGGUCUGCAACUGACGCUGAGGCUCGAAAGCAUGGGUAGCGAACAGGAUUAGAUACCCUGGUAGUCCAUGCCGUAAACGAUGAGCGCUAGGUGUUGGGACUUUCCGGUUCUCAGUGCCGCAGCAAACGCAUUAAGCGCUCCGCCUGGGGAGUACGACCGCAAGGUUGAAACUCAAGUGAAUUGA